Molecule: ribosomal RNA, 301 nt
Filed under: uncultured bacterium
Lineage: Bacteria
Description: partial 16S ribosomal RNA
Rfam family: Bacterial small subunit ribosomal RNA
Source: RNAcentral
CGCAGCCGCGGUAAUACAGAGGGUGCGAGCGUUAAUCGGAUUUACUGGGCGUAAAGCGUGCGUAGGCGGCUAAUUGAGUCGGAUGUGAAAUCCCCGAGCUUAACUUGGGAAUUGCAUUCGAUACUGGUUAGCUAGAGUGUGGGAGAGGAUGGUAGAAUUCCAGGUGUAGCGGUGAAAUGCGUAGAGAUCUGGAGGAAUACCGAUGGCGAAGGCAGCCAUCUGGCCUAACACUGACGCUGAGGUACGAAAGCAUGGGGAGCAAACAGGAUUAGAUACCCCUGUAGUCCCUGUCUCUUAUACA